Long non-coding RNA from Helicoverpa armigera (cotton bollworm), 307 nucleotides. RefSeq lists it as uncharacterized. Lineage: Eukaryota; Metazoa; Arthropoda; Insecta; Lepidoptera; Noctuidae. The transcript is spliced from 3 exons. The record is from RefSeq and is a predicted model, not a curated record.
UACUCAAUAUACUGAAUCUCUCAAGAUGCUCCAAGGUCAUCGACGCUGAUAUUCAGAGCACUGUCGUCGUGUCCAACUACUGUCCAGCUAUGAAAGGCUGCAGAGAGGGAACCCAUGUUAUGUGCACGUAUUAUGAUCAUGAACACCCGGUGGGCGAACAUUGUCACGAGUAUGUUAGAUUCACAAUAACACCGCAAAUGGUUUAUCAGAUACUUGAAGAAGUCAACUAUAUAAGACUCAAAGUAGCUACGGGGAAAGAAGUUGGAAAAAAUGACCUGCCUUUACCUAGAGCAUAUGGAAUGAUGAA